CGUCCAGACUCCUACGGGAGGCAGCAGUGAGGAAUAUUGGUCAAUGGACGAGAGUCUGAACCAGCCAAGUAGCGUGAAGGGUGACUGCCCUAUGGGUUGUAAACUUCUUUUAUAUGGGAAUAAAACAGGGUAUGCAUACCCUCUUGUAUGUACCAUAUGAAUAAGGAUCGGCUAACUCCGUGCCAGCAGCCGCGGUAAUACGGAGGAUCCGAGCGUUAUCCGGAUUUAUUGGGUUUAAAGGGAGCGUAGGCUGUGAGGUAAGUCAGCGGUGAAAUGCCCCCGCUCAACGGGGUGAAGUGCCAUUGAUACUGCCUUGCUGGAAUGCGGAUGCCGUGGGAGGAAUGUGUGGUGUAGCGGUGAAAUGCAUAGAUAUCACACAGAACACCGAUUGCGAAGGCAUCUCACGAAGCCGCGAUUGACGCUGAUGCACGAAAGCGUGGGUAUCAAACAGGAUUAGAUACCCCUGUAC
This 469-nucleotide ribosomal RNA is filed under the name uncultured bacterium. Its description in RNAcentral is "bacterial SSU rRNA". It matches the Rfam family "Bacterial small subunit ribosomal RNA", at positions 328 to 793 of the family's 1533-position model. The record is from RNAcentral.